UUGAUUAUUCUGGUUAGUCACAUUGUACUGCUAUUAUUUUGAACAAUACUGUACAUUGUUGUUUAUCAGUGUACGUUCACGGUGCAUUGGGUGCCCACCGUUACGUUCAUCAAUCAUAUCUGUACACAUUCACGGCGCGUUCUGUGCACUGAUUUAUCUAUACACAUUCAUGGUGCACUGAAGGGUUCACCCGUGUGCACACAAUUUAUUAUCAGAACACAUGACGGCACGCUCGAGGAUCUUGCCGGCCUGUGCAUUAUAACACUCUGAUUGAUUUAUCUGAUUUAUUUAUUUAUUUAUUAUCGCUUGGAAAGCUCACCAAUCUGUGCACUAUAAUACUACCUAUAUGCAUCCCGAUGCGCUCGAGGGCGCACCUGGGUUCACACUAUUGUGGUAUCUGUAUAAUCCCAUGCUACGAACCGUUCUGCCGCAUAUUAUAGUCAGAUCGGCCGUUCCUGAGCUUUGCAGUUCACUCACUAUGUAUGCCUGUUGCUAACAGUGGUUAUUAGAUGGAUCGUUGAAGCCAUCGCACUGGCUCACGCCCCUCUAUAUGAGCUAUGUCCUAUAUGUUAGAGCCCACUCUUUGCGAGUUUGGCUUCAUCAUGGACUUGGUCUACAGGGUAUCUAUAUUUGAUAUCUGCUACGCGGCCGGCUGGUCUUCGCCGUCUACGUUUGUCAGAUUGUACAGCUUGUACCCUACGAGCGCAGGUUCUCUCGGCUCAAUUAUGCACGUUCAUGCGUUUUAUGUGUACACCACGGUGCGCUCAGCGAGCUCACCAACGUGACUUUAAAUUUACUUAUCUCGCACACCUGCGGCGCGCUCUGUGAUCUCGCCGUCUUGUGCUAUGUUAUGUGCUCCCAGUGCAUUUUAAACCCCACCGUAUGCGCGUUAACCUUUUAUAUGGUGCUUACACUUUUGCUUUAAAGCUGUGAAUAUGCCGGAUAUAGGAGCCACACGCAGUGUCUCUCCGGUAAGGCACUUUAUUAGUCCGUUGUGUAUGCACGGCGUGAUGGGAUUACGUUCCCCCAUAGCGUCAGCAACUGACGCAAUGCGAAGUGAACCGUAUUGAAAGGGAACGCUUAGGUUACUCACGUAACCCCGGAUCCCUGAAAUAACGGGAACGAAGCAUUGCGUCUCUUGCCAUGCUACAAACGUCUACGCAGCGAGUGUUAUACAAUGUGCAUUGUUUGAAAGUUGCUUUAACACUUAGGGGUCGAUGGCGGCAUGGGCAACCUAUUCUUUCUUUAAUCACUGGACAGAGAGCCUUAAUUAUCUGCUGAUUUUAGACAUGCAUAUAUGAUUUAUACAUCAUUCAAAAAUGUAAAGUGUCUUGUUUUAAAACAACAAUGUUGUGCUUUUCACAAAAUUAAGAAAAUAAACAUGAGGCGCAUUCUGUUCUCUCUCCCUAAGUGAAAUCAUUUGCGUCACAAACUUAACUAUAACUUAGCGAAUACUUGUCAGACAAACAAUAGAUAUAUGUCUACAGGGCUCUGAAGUUUUACCAAAAGUUUGGAGUGAGAUUAUCUAUUAGGGGAAGGGGUAUUUGCAGCAGCGUCUCCCUCGGCCCCACUCAAUUCUCAAGUUUUUGCUAACAGUUUAAUUGUACCAAUUGUUUUGUAAACAAACUAUUAAUGAGAAAAGGGGAAUCCAAGGCACUCUUCAUAUAUCAAAAAGUAAAAAGCCUUUAUUUAAAUAUGGCUAUAAUAUUAAAAACAGGGCAGUAAACUAUUAAUGAGCCCUAUUCACUUCCGUAGUAUUAUUUUUCCUACUAUAGAAGUGAAUGAGGCUCAUUAAAGGUUUGGUUACAAACAUUCCUCAAAAUAUCUUCCUUCGUGUUCUUCAGAACAAAUACAUUUAUACAGGUUUGUAACAACAUAAGAGUGAGCAAAUGAUAACAGAAUUUUUAAUGAAGGUAAGUCCAUAGGGGGUUGGCCCAUGAAAAACCCUAAUGGUGGCUCAUAUGGGCUAUCCCCUAUGGGGCAGUCAAACUGCUAUCGGCCCGACGUGGCAACCUGCAUGGGGCUUACCUAGGGUUGGUGUGGGUUUGCCCUUCCCACACUGACAUGUGUGACGUGCCCACGCAUGUUUGUUGGGUAAGUGCAAAAUGAUGUUUUAAAACCUAUUGGAUUCAAGAGGUUUCAUGGCUUGGGUAUGAUCAUUAAACAGAAAAAAUGUUUCUGACAUUUGUUUUUAAACGGGCAGACAAAUGGUGGAGGAAAUGGAUUUUGUUACAGGAACAAAAAUAAAUGUUUAGAUUUUUAUUUCAAUUUACAGUUCAAAUAAUUGUUCAAUUAUUAUGUUUUCUGCUGUCAUUAAAAGACAAAUUUCACCAAGAUUCUUGAUGCAAUUCAACACAGUCUGUAUGAUUGCAUGUAAAGAGCUGUUUUACUCUUAGAUAUUCCCUCUCAGAUAACUAUUACAAUAGUUUUUUUAUUUACAUUAAAACCAUAGUAACCACAUAUUUUUAGUUGAACAGAACCCAUGGUCAUUCAAAUGGUAGUAAACAAAAACAUGGAUACUUCAGUUUUACUACUAGGGUUAAUUUCCUAGGCUUACUUCACUUCUUUUCUGUGAAUACUUGCCAAGUAGAUGUUGACUACUCUUCUAUCUUCUAUUAUAUUAAAAACAAUCUUUCUCAGGUAUUGUUUUUGAAUUUUAAAAAACGUAGCACUUCUUCUAUUACUGCCUUCACACGACAAAUUGCUUUAUUGUUUCCGAAUCUUUGUAAGUGUUUUUGGAUAGAAGCGUCUGCUAAAUGACUAAAUGUAAAACUAUGGUUAAAUUCCUGGGGAAAGAAGACAAUUCUAAUCCUAAUGUGGCCCUUAGAAUAAUAAAUUAUUAAUUAACUUAACUCUUCUGAACGUUGCACUUAUUAUACACGAAGACUGUUUAGUUUUUUUUUUACAAUAAUAAUAGUUAAUGUAAGUAAUUGUUAAACUUCAGAUGAGUCUUCUUGUGCAAGUCAGUUUUAUUCCAUUCCGUAUUAAUUCUAAGUCUUUAUUGUUGUACAGUGUGACAGCUAAGAUCAAACAAUAGGACAUGUUUGAUUAUCAGACAAAAUGGCAAAUAGUGUCAGGGGAUGGAUAAUAUCUGUGUUAUGAUUGGUCAGGUCGCCUGUCAAUCAAAUUCCCACGAAGGGUCAAUUGUGAAAAGUAUUAUAUAAAUAAUAUUUUAAUAGAAUUGAAUAAAGUUUUAAACCUAGUUAUUAUAAAUAUUUGCUUAAGUUGUAUUGAAAGCAAUGUUAGUGACAAUAAUUUGUUAUUUUUGUUAAUUUGGUAUGGUUGUAAUCAUAUAUACAGUAUGAAAAGCUGUUGUAUGUUCUUUUAUCAUUCACAGUCACUUACAUGCAUGUAUGUGUGUAAUUUGCUUUAUUUUUUGUCAGAUUGCAUUUCUGGGUCUGACAACCGCAGAGAGAACAAACCUGUUGCACAGACAGAGGAAACUCCCUCAGGCCUCGCUCAGACAAAAUCCAUUCAAUCUUGGAGUAAUUAGAAACCUGGUGAACUUCUUCCAGUGUCGAUGCUGUGGUCUUUGUAAGCCAGUGGUGCUGGACUGGACUCAGCAGUAUCCAAUGGGUCUCAGCAGAGAGCAUCCCAUGUUCAGUGGUCCAGACGCUGUCUAACGCCCAUUGACAAGUGACUCACUCAGGGAGAGCAGUGUCUCCUCUCGGACAAUAGAACUUCCAUGACAUGGCUACAUUAUGCUAUAAUAAAGGUUGUUAAUUUGUAUGUGUAACGGAAAAUUUUAAAGUUAAAUAUUUUGUAAGGUACUUAAACGGGUAACCUCUUACUGAAAAUAAUGUCUUUUUUUAAGGUGUUUUCUAAAUCAGAGCAGUUUCGUUUUCCUACAAAUCUUCACCAGAAAUUGCUAUCAAAUGAAAUGCUGAGGUACAAAAUCUUGUUGACGAUAUACCAUCUGUGGAAAAAAAUACAUUUCUUCUUUUUUUUGAGAAAUGUACAUAUAGAUCAUAGGCGGAGCUCUAAAACAUUACUUUAUAAGAUAUUUUGUAAAAAAAAAAAAAUCAUUAAUCAUAUCAUAAUAUUUGUAUUUAUCAAAACUUUGCACUUGUUAAAGUUACUUUUUAUGCUGCCUUCCAAUCACGAUGGAGCAGAGGUAUCUAGAGCGCUCUUCUUUUAAACAAUGCCUGGCAUGUGCAGCUGCCUUAAAACCUUUGGUGGAGUCCUUGAUUUUACCCCAAGAUUGUAUAAAUUAAUCACCAAUGUACUGUUCACUGCAUAUUAAUUUUCCUUCUUGUUUUUUACUUGUAUUAAUUAGCCAAUAAAUUGUUGCGUUUAAGAAGUUAAUAAAAUGCUCUAAAAUUAA
This is a non-coding RNA of Misgurnus anguillicaudatus (oriental weatherfish), 4324 nucleotides long. The record is from RefSeq and is a predicted model, not a curated record. NCBI's taxonomy places the organism in Eukaryota, Metazoa, Chordata, Actinopteri, Cypriniformes, Cobitidae.